Camellia sinensis is the source of this 626-nucleotide non-coding RNA. Lineage: Eukaryota; Viridiplantae; Streptophyta; Magnoliopsida; Ericales; Theaceae. The record is from RefSeq and is a predicted model, not a curated record.
UGAGUGCUGGAGUGGGGUUCAAGCAUGGAAAGAAAAAUUUUUUUAUAAAGAAAACCACAUAAGGCAGCUCAAGGUGAAGAGUACAGAAAUGGGGGCCUCUCACACCAAGUGAAAAUGUCCUGGAAGUCGGUCCAGGGAAAGUGGUUCUGCUUAUAUGUAAAUCGAAGCAAUUCAAGUCUCUACAUCUUUUUAAAAUCAUUUGGACUGGAUGGGUAAGACAAUUCAUUUGUCUGGGUUUCCAUACCUUGUUUCUGCGGAAACAGUCAAGGAAUUCUUAGAACAACACUUACCUGCAGGGUGUUAGAUCCAAUAAUCUACAGUUCUGGCCUUCGCAUACUGUUUAUCAAGGUUGAUUCGACAAACACAAAAAUUCUUUAUGGAGUCAAAUGACUGUAAUGAUGCAAGAACUAUGGGCUUCCAAUUUGCUGGGAAAGCUGUUUAUACGGCAGUAUGGGUUGCCGCUGUUUCGUUGUUUGUGGAAUUGCUUGGUUUCUCUACCCAAAAGUGGCUUACUGUUGGGGGUCUGGGCACAGUAUUGAUCACCCUUGCUGGUGGUGAUAUAUUUACAAAUUUUCUUUCGAGUGUAAUGAUCCAUGUGACUUGAUCAUUUGUUGCAAUGUUGAUUA